GAUAUGUGAAUACAUAGCAUAUCAGAAGGCACACCCGGAGAACUGAAACAUCUUAGUACCCGGAGGAAGAGAAAGAAAAUUCGAUUCCCUUAGUAGCGGCGAGCGAAACGGGAAGAGCCCAAACCAACAAGCUUGCUUGUUGGGGUUGUAGGACACUCUAUACGGAGUUACAAAGGACGACAUUAGACGAAUCAUCUGGAAAGAUGAAUCAAAGAAGGUAAUAAUCCUGUAGUCGAAAAUGUUGUCUCUCUUGAGUGGAUCCUGAGUACGACGGAGCACGUGAAAUUCCGUCGGAAUCUGGGAGGACCAUCUCCUAAGGCUAAAUACUCUCUAGUGACCGAUAGUGAACCAGUACCGUGAGGGAAAGGUGAAAAGCACCCCGGAAGGGGAGUGAAAUAGAACCUGAAACCGUGUGCUUACAAGUAGUCAGAGCCCGUUAAUGGGUGAUGGCGUGCCUUUUGUAGAAUGAACCGGCGAGUUACGAUUUGAUGCAAGGUUAAGCAGUAAAUGUGGAGCCGUAGCGAAAGCGAGUCUGAAUAGGGCGUUUAGUAUUUGGUCGUAGACCCGAAACCAGGUGAUCUACCCUUGGUCAGGUUGAAGUUCAGGUAACACUGAAUGGAGGACCGAACCGACUUACGUUGAAAAGUGAGCGGAUGAACUGAGGGUAGCGGAGAAAUUCCAAUCGAACCUGGAGAUAGCUGGUUCUCUCCGAAAUAGCUUUAGGGCUAGCCUCAAGUGAUGAUUAUUGGAGGUAGAGCACUGUUUGGACGAGGGGCCCCUCUCGGGUUACCGAAUUCAGACAAACUCCGAAUGCCAAUUAAUUUAACUUGGGAGUCAGAACAUGGGUGAUAAGGUCCGUGUUCGAAAGGGAAACAGCCCAGACCACCAGCUAAGGUCCCAAAAUAUAUGUUAAGUGGAAAAGGAUGUGGCGUUGCCCAGACAACUAGGAUGUUGGCUUAGAAGCAGCCAUCAUUUAAAGAGUGCGUAAUAGCUCACUAGUCGAGUGACACUGCGCCGAAAAUGUACCGGGGCUAAACAUAUUACCGAAGCUGUGGAUUGUCCUUUGGACAAUGGUAGGAGAGCGUUCUAAGGGCGUUGAAGCAUGAUCGUAAGGACAUGUGGAGCGCUUAGAAGUGAGAAUGCCGGUGUGAGUAGCGAAAGACGGGUGAGAAUCCCGUCCACCGAUUGACUAAGGUUUCCAGAGGAAGGCUCGUCCGCUCUGGGUUAGUCGGGUCCUAAGCUGAGGCCGACAGGCGUAGGCGAUGGAUAACAGGUUGAUAUUCCUGUACCACCUAUAAUC
RNAcentral lists this ribosomal RNA (1300 nucleotides) under Staphylococcus aureus. RNAcentral describes it as "partial 23S ribosomal RNA". It matches the Rfam family "Bacterial large subunit ribosomal RNA", at positions 153 to 1455 of the family's 2925-position model. Lineage: Bacteria; Bacillati; Bacillota; Bacilli; Caryophanales; Staphylococcaceae. The record is from RNAcentral.